CCUACGGGAGGCAGCAGUGGGGAAUUUUGGACAAUGGGCGCAAGCCUGAUCCAGCUAUUCCGCGUGUGGGAUGAAGGCCUUCGGGUUGUAAAGUUCUGUCGCAGGGGACGAAAAUGACGGUACCCUGCAAGAAAGCUCCGGCUAACUACGUGCCAGCAGCCGCGGUAAUACGUAGGGAGCAAGCGUUGUCCGGAAUUACUGGGUGUAAAGGGAGCGUAGGCGGGAGGCUAAGUUGAAUGUGAAAUCUAUGGUCUCAACCCAUAGCUGCGUUCAAAACUGUUCUUCUUGAGUGAAGUAGAGGCAGGCGGAAUUCCUAGUGUAGCGGUGAAAUGCGUAGAUAUUAGGAGGAACACCAGUGGCGAAGGCGGCCUGCUGGGCUUUUACUGACGCUGAGGCUCGAAAGCGUGGGUAGCAAACAGGAUUAGAUACCCUUGUAGUC
Molecule: ribosomal RNA, 439 nt
Filed under: uncultured bacterium
Lineage: Bacteria
Description: partial 16S ribosomal RNA
Rfam family: Bacterial small subunit ribosomal RNA
Source: RNAcentral